ACGGCGAAUUGUAGUUUCGAGAAGUACUUUCAGGCGCAUCGAGUUUGCCUAAGUUGCUUGGAACAGCACGUCAUAGAGGGUGACAACCCCGUACGUGGCAAUGCUCGAGCGCUCGCGAUGUGCUUUCGAAGAGUCGGGUUGUUUGGGAAUGCAGCCCAAAACGGGUGGUAAACUCCAUCUAAAGCUAAAUACAGGCACGAGACCGAUAGCGAACAAGUACCGUGAGGGAAAGAUGAAAAGGACUUUGAAAAGAGAGUUAAAAAGUACGUGAAACCGUUGAAAGGGAAGCGAAUGGAGUUAGCAAUUCGCCCUGCCAGACUCAGCCGCUCGCGAGUAGCGACGCGCGCGUUCUCGAUCCCUAUAGACGAGGCGCGUGCGGGUGCGACUUGCGGACGGCGCACUUCUGGCGGGCGAGCGUCAGCGUCGGUUGUCGAGGGGCGAGAAGGUCGCGAGGAAGGUGGACCGGCCUCACGGCCGGUUGUUAAGCCUCGCGCUCGCACGGCCCGACGACGACCGUGGCUCGGGGAGGCGACGCGUGCCUGGCUGGCGACUCGCUCGAUCGGUCCGGCAUGUCGA
This 576-nucleotide ribosomal RNA is filed under the name Melithaea sp. JDR-2011. Its description in RNAcentral is "eukaryotic LSU rRNA". It matches the Rfam family "Eukaryotic large subunit ribosomal RNA", at positions 135 to 499 of the family's 3401-position model. Lineage: Eukaryota; Metazoa; Cnidaria; Anthozoa; Malacalcyonacea; Melithaeidae. The record is from RNAcentral.